UACGGAGGGGGCAAGCGUUGUUCGGAAUUACUGGGCGUAAAGGGCGCGUAGGCGGCCAGUUGCGUCGGGUGUGAAAGCCCCGGGCUCAACCUGGGAGGUGCACUUGAUACGGGCUGGCUGGAAUCCGGGAGAGGAUGGUGGAAUUCCCAGUGUAGAGGUGGAAUUCGUAGAUAUUGGGAAGAACACCGAUGGCGAAGGAAGCCAUCGGGACCGGGAGUGACGCUGAGGCGCGCAAGCGUGGGGAGCAAACAGG
RNAcentral lists this ribosomal RNA (253 nucleotides) under uncultured bacterium. RNAcentral describes it as "partial 16S ribosomal RNA". It matches the Rfam family "Bacterial small subunit ribosomal RNA", at positions 524 to 776 of the family's 1533-position model. The record is from RNAcentral.